AACGCACAGCGAAAGGUGCUUGCACCUUUCAGUGAGUGGCGAACGGGUGAGUAACACGUGGACAACCUGCCUCAAGGCUGGGGAUACAUUUGGAAACAGAUGCUAAUACCGAAUGAAACUUAGUGUCGCAUGACACAAAGUUAAAAGGCGCUUUGGCGUCACCUAGAGAUGGAUCCGCGGUGCAUUAGUUAGUUGGUGGGGUAAAGGCCUACCAAGACAAUGAUGCAUAGCCGAGUUGAGAGACUGAUCGGCCACAUUGGGACUGAGACACGGCCCAAACUCCUACGGGAGGCUGCAGUAGGGAAUCUUCCACAAUGGGCGAAAGCCUGAUGGAGCAACGCCGCGUGUGUGAUGAAGGCUUUCGGGUCGUAAAGCACUGUUGUAUGGGAAGAACAGCUAGAAUAGGGAAUGAUUUUAGUUUGACGGUACCAUACCAGAAAGGGACGGCUAAAUACGUGCCAGCAGCCGCGGUAAUACGUAUGUCCCGAGCGUUAUCCGGAUUUAUUGGGCGUAAAGCGAGCGCAGACGGUUGAUUAAGUCUGAUGUGAAAGCCCGGAGCUCAACUCCGGAAUGGCAUUGGAAACUGGUUAACUUGAGUGCAGUAGAGGUAAGUGGAACUCCAUGUGUAGCGGUGGAAUGCGUAGAUAUAUGGAAGAACACCAGUGGCGAAGGCGGCUUACUGGACUGUAACUGACGUUGAGGCUCGAAAGUGUGGGUAGCAAACAGGAUUAGAUACCCUGGUAGUCCACACCGUAAACGAUGAACACUAGGUGUUAGGAGGUUUCCGCCUCUUAGUGCCGAAGCUAACGCAUUAAGUGUUCCGCCUGGGGAGUACGACCGCAAGGUUGAAACUCAAGG
RNAcentral lists this ribosomal RNA (858 nucleotides) under Leuconostoc pseudomesenteroides. RNAcentral's name for it is "bacterial SSU rRNA". It matches the Rfam family "Bacterial small subunit ribosomal RNA", at positions 65 to 906 of the family's 1533-position model. The record is from RNAcentral. Lineage: Bacteria; Bacillati; Bacillota; Bacilli; Lactobacillales; Lactobacillaceae.